RNAcentral lists this ribosomal RNA (115 nucleotides) under Succinivibrionaceae bacterium WG-1. Lineage: Bacteria; Pseudomonadati; Pseudomonadota; Gammaproteobacteria; Aeromonadales; Succinivibrionaceae. The record is from RNAcentral.
CUCGGUGACAAUAACGCUUUGGACCCACCUGUAUCCAUUCCGAACACAGAAGUGAAACGAAGUAGUGCUGAUGGUAGUGUAGCAUUCGCUAUGUGAGAGUAAGUCAUUACCGGGC